Molecule: ribosomal RNA, 321 nt
Filed under: uncultured Pseudomonadota bacterium
Lineage: Bacteria; Pseudomonadati; Pseudomonadota
Description: bacterial SSU rRNA
Rfam family: Bacterial small subunit ribosomal RNA
Source: RNAcentral
AUUGAACGCUGGCGGCAUGCUUUACACAUGCAAGUCGAACGGCAGCACGGGGGCAACCCUGGUGGCGAGUGGCGAACGGGUGAGUAAUGCAUCGGAACGUGCCUAGUAGUGGGGGAUAACGCGUCGAAAGAUGUGCUAAUACCGCAUACGCACUAUGGUGGAAAGCGGGGGAUCGCAAGACCUCGCGCUAUUAGAGCGGCCGAUGCCCGAUUAGCUAGUUGGUGGGGUAAUGGCCUACCAAGGCGACGAUCGGUAGCUGGUCUGAGAGGAUGAUCAGCCACACUGGGACUGAGACACGGCCCAGACUCCUACGGGUGGCUG